UACGAAGGGGGCUAGCGUUGUUCGGAAUUACUGGGCGUAAAGCGCACGUAGGCGGAUAUUUAAGUCAGGGGUGAAAUCCCAGAGCUCAACUCUGGAACUGCCUUUGAUACUGGGUAUCUUGAGUAUGGAAGAGGUGAGUGGAAUUCCGAGUGUAGAGGUGAAAUUCGUAGAUAUUCGGAAGAACACCAGUGGCGAAGGCGGCUCACUGGACCGGUAUUGACGCUGAGGUGCGAAAGCGUGGGGAGCAAACAGG
Molecule: ribosomal RNA, 253 nt
Filed under: uncultured bacterium
Lineage: Bacteria
Description: partial 16S ribosomal RNA
Rfam family: Bacterial small subunit ribosomal RNA
Source: RNAcentral